This 466-nucleotide ribosomal RNA is filed under the name uncultured Actinomycetes bacterium. Its description in RNAcentral is "bacterial SSU rRNA". It matches the Rfam family "Bacterial small subunit ribosomal RNA", at positions 351 to 833 of the family's 1533-position model. The record is from RNAcentral. Lineage: Bacteria; Bacillati; Actinomycetota; Actinomycetes.
GCAGCAGGGAAUAUUGCGCAAUGAGCGAAAGCUUGACGCAGCGACACCGCGUGUGGGAUGACGGAUCUAGGUUUGUAAACCACUUUCAGGAGGGAAGAAAAUGACGGUACCUCCACAAGAAGCCCCGGCCAACUACGUGCCAGCAGCCGCGGUAAUACGUAGGGGGCGAGCGUUGUCCGGAUUUAUUGGGCGUAAAGAGCUCGUAGGCGGUUCAACAAGUCGGUCGUAAAAGUUCAGGGCUCAACCCUGAAAUGUCGAUCGAUACUGUUGUGACUAGGAUACGGUAGAGGUGAGUGGAAUUCCGAGUGUAGCGGUGAAAUGCGUAGAUAUUCGGAGGAACACCAAUUGCGAAGGCAGCUCACUGGGCCGCUAUCGACGCUGAGGAGCGAAAGCUAGGGGAGCAAACAGGAUUAGAUACCCUGGUAGUCCUAGCUGUAAACGAUGGAUACUAGACGUAGGAACUGGA